Molecule: long non-coding RNA, 2347 nt
Filed under: Salmo salar (Atlantic salmon)
Lineage: Eukaryota; Metazoa; Chordata; Actinopteri; Salmoniformes; Salmonidae
Description: lncRNA (ENSSSAG00000104316.1)
Source: RNAcentral
CCAAAUCUAAAUGCUAUCUUAGCCUUUGAUGAGUCACAGACCCCUUGCAGUGUGUCAUUUGGGGUGGGGGGCAUGUCCUACGAAAAAUCUCAAAUGGUAUUUUAUUAGUUCAUUACCUUUAACCAGGCCAGGUAUGGGGGCAAGGGGGCUUGAUGAAGGGUUGUUGGGCCAAGCCAGGCCAGGGUUGGGCUCUUGUGGGGGCUAAUGCCCCUCAGUGGUGGAGGGGGACCAGGUCUUUGUCCCAGUGGAGGGGAUUACACCGGCGGGGCGGCCCUAACAAUGUCUCCCCUCCUGGGAGGGCUGGGCAAACCUGCUCCCCCCAAUGACGGGUGUGGUCAACUGCUCACUGACUCAGUUAAACACAGUGAGAGAGAGGAGGAGAAGAGAGGGAUAGGAGGAGGAGAUGAAUGGAGGGGAGAGAGAAGAAUGAGCAGCAUGGAGUGAUACUCAACAAGGGUAACAGGGUAACAGAGAAGGAGAAAGUGGAGAGGAGAGGAUGGAGGUUGGAGAAGAAGAGGGUGGAGGUUGGAGGAGGAGAGGGUGGAGGUUGGAGGAGGAGAGGAUGGAGGUUGGAGGGGGAACGAGUUAAGGUUGGAGGAGGAGAGGAUGGAGGUAGGAGGAGGAGAGGAUGGAGGUAGGAGGAGGAGAGGAUGGAGGUUGGAGGGAGAGCGAGUUAAGGUUGGAGGAGGAGAGGAUGGGGUAGGAGGAGGAGAGGAUGGAGGUUGGAGGAGGAGAGGAUGGAGGUUGGAGGAGGAGAGGAUUAAGGUAGGAGGAGGAGAGGAUGGAGGUAGGAGGGAGAGCGAGUUAAGGUUGGAGGAGGAGAGGAUGGAGGUUGGAGGAGGAGAGGAUGGAAGUUGGAGGAGGAGAGGAUGGAGGUUGGAGGAGGAGAGGGUGGAGGUUGGAGGAGGAGAGGAUGGAGGUUGGAGGAGGAGAGGUUGGCGGGAGGAGGAGGAGAGGAUGGAGGUUGGAGGAGGAGAGGAUGGAGGUUGGAGGAGGAGAGGAUGGAGGUUGGAGGAGGAGAGGAUGGAGGUUGGAGGAGGAGAGGAUGGAGGUUGGAGGGAGAGCGAGUUAAGGUUGGAGGAGGAGAGGAUGGCGGUAGGAGGAGGAGAGGAUGGAGGUUGGAGGAGGAGAGGAUGGAGGUAGGAGGAGGAGAGGAUGGAGGUUGGAGGAGGAGAGGAUGGAGGUAGGAGGAGGAGAGGAUGGAGGUUCGAGGAGGAGAGGAUGGAAGUAGGAGGAGGAGAGGAUGGAGAUAGGAGGAGGAGAGGAUGGAGGUAGGAGGGGGAGAGGGUGGAGGUUGGAGGAGGAGAGGAUGGAAGUAGGAGGAGGAGAGGAUGGAGGUAGGAGGAGGAGAGGAUGGAGGUAGGAGGAGGAGAGGGUGGAGGUAGGAGGGGGAGAGGGUGGAGGUUGGAGGAGGAGAGUAUUAAGGUAGGAGGAGGAGAGGAUGGAGGUAGGAGGAAGAGAGGGUGAAAGGAUCAGGUGUGGUAGGAGGAGGAGAGGGUGAAAGGAUCAGGUGUGGUAGGAGGAGGAGAGGGUGAAAGGAUCAGGUGUGGUAGGAGGAGGAGAGGAUGAAAGGAUCAGGUGUGGUAGGAGGAGGAGAGGAUGAAAGGAUCAGGUGUGGUAGGAGGAGGAGAGGAUGAAAGGAUCAGGUGUGGUAGGAGGAGGAGAGGAUGAAAGGAUCAGGUGUGGUAGUAGGAGGAGAGGAUGAAAGGAUCAGGUGUGGUAGGAGGGAAAGGAGACCAGUGGCUCAAAGAACAAGAAGAUAAAUAAAGGAGUGAAGGAGAAGAGCGGAAUGGUGAGCUAGGUGAGGAUGACUCUGCAGGUACUGGAUGUAAAAUGUGUAAGUCUGAGGCCUUUCCUUAUGUACUUCAAUAUCAAAGUCCUCAUUAUGCCCACGCACACCGCCCAUUCAAAUCCAAUGACAAAUGCACCAGAUAAUUCCAUUAGGGGGGACUUCUAUAGAGGAUAUUUAGGGGACAGUAGAGAAAUCCAGGUAACAUAGCUCAACGCGGGCAAAGACAGAUAUGGCUCCGUAACACUUAUCAGGGAUUUGGCAGCCCUGUUGAUUGAACAUGCCAAGUCCCAUUUGUCGGAGGGGUGUGCACGUUUGUAUCGACACGCUGUAACCUUGUGGCUCCACAGAAGGAGACAUCAGAUGUGCUGCUAGCGGGCACACAGGCAGACAGGCAGGCAAGCAGGAGAGGGUGGGUGGGUUGGUAGGCUCCCCUCCUCUUCCCUUCUCUCUACUUCUCUCUCUCCUACUCUCUUCUCCUCUUCCGGCUGCAGUGGACAGGAGCCCCCCUCCUCCAUCCCCAGUGGACGGGAGCCCCCCUCCUCCCUCCAUCCCCAG